AGAAUUUUAAGUUAUUAUAAACUAGAAGCCUUCAAAGCUUAAAAUAAAAGAAAUCUUUUAAAUUCUA
RNAcentral lists this transfer RNA (67 nucleotides) under Pilumnus vespertilio. Its description in RNAcentral is "tRNA-Trp". The record is from RNAcentral. Lineage: Eukaryota; Metazoa; Arthropoda; Malacostraca; Decapoda; Pilumnidae.